AGAAUAUAGAUCCUUUGCAGAAUCCUGAAGAGGGACUUAGAUGCUGUUGAAGAAGUUGCAACAUCUGCUACCAUGAGACUGAGAACUGAAAUGACUAGGCAACUUCUCAUGAUGCAUGAUAAUAUGAGAUGUGCUUCCAAUCAUUUGACUCCUCGAGUGCUAGAGAUGACUUUGGAUUCAAGUUGAAGAGCUUGCAGCAGAAACAAAAAACCUUGUCAGUCAACUUGUCACAACUGCUUGCCUUUUUGUUAUUUGUGAAUUGAAGACCGAUGAGCAUGGCUCUCCUGGAACUUUCCCCACAAUCAGUUAUCAGAUUCAAAGAGCAAGGGCUCAUUGGACAUAUUUCCAUAUACAAAACAAACGGAAUGGGAAAAUUAAAUGAUCUAAUGUAACAAAGGAACAAAAUGAAAUUAUUUCUUGCCAUAUUCUUUGUUUGUCUAUUCUUAACUACCAUCUCAGGGAAGUGUAAAUUAAAAGUUGAAAUGAUUUAUUUCAGAAACUAAAUAAAUAGAGCCCACUGCUGCUUUUUCA
This 531-nucleotide long non-coding RNA is filed under the name Crocodylus porosus (Australian saltwater crocodile). RNAcentral's name for it is "lncRNA (ENSCPRG00005005291.1)". The record is from RNAcentral. Lineage: Eukaryota; Metazoa; Chordata; Crocodylia; Crocodylidae.